CGUGAACUGGUGGGGUCCCUUGGCCUAGCCUGCACCCUCUAGCAAUCCAGGACCCCUCGGACUGCUGGUUUCAGCCUGAUCCCCGCAGGCCAGGCCAAGGGACCCCACCGGUGCACG
This 117-nucleotide microRNA precursor is filed under the name Myotis lucifugus (little brown bat). RNAcentral describes it as "mir-9193 microRNA precursor family". It matches the Rfam family "mir-9193 microRNA precursor family". Lineage: Eukaryota; Metazoa; Chordata; Mammalia; Chiroptera; Vespertilionidae. The record is from Rfam by way of RNAcentral.